Molecule: long non-coding RNA, 224 nt
Organism: Phalaenopsis equestris
Lineage: Eukaryota; Viridiplantae; Streptophyta; Magnoliopsida; Asparagales; Orchidaceae
Exons: 2
Source: RefSeq, a predicted model, not a curated record
GGAUCGUACGGGGUGUUUUUGAACCCUGGGUUCUCCCUUGUGCGUCGUCUCUUUAGUUAUGCUAUGCUCUCUGCAACUCUGGUCUUCUUACUACGAGCUCGCAGCUAAUGCUCUCUUCUCAACCAACUGACAUACAUCGUGUGAGGUUUCUAAUGAUCGGCCAAACAUUUCAAUGGCGUAAAUUUCUUCUCCGAAGGUACUAAAUCACGAACUCAUUCUAUCUA